RNAcentral lists this unclassified non-coding RNA (329 nucleotides) under soil metagenome. Its description in RNAcentral is "partial contains 5.8S ribosomal RNA, internal transcribed spacer 2, and large subunit ribosomal RNA". The stretch from base 1 to 120 matches the Rfam family "5.8S ribosomal RNA", at positions 35 to 154 of the family's 154-position model. The record is from RNAcentral.
GAUGAAGAACGCAGCGAAAUGCGAUAAGUAGUGUGAAUUGCAGAAUUCAGUGAAUCAUCGAAUCUUUGAACGCACAUUGCGCCCCUUGGUAUCCCGAGGGGCAUGCCUGUUCGAGCGUCAUUUCACCACUCAAGCCUGGCUUGGUGUUGGGCGACGUCCCCUUUGGGGACGCGCCUCGAAACGCUCGGCGGCGUGGCACCGGCUUUAAGCGUAGCAGAAUCUUUCGCUUUGGAAGUCGGGGCCCCGUCUGCCGGAAGACCUACUCGCAAGGUUGACCUCGGAUCACGCAGGGAUACCCGCUGAACUUAAGCAUAUCAAUAAGCGGAGGA